This 617-nucleotide long non-coding RNA is filed under the name Brassica rapa (field mustard). Its description in RNAcentral is "long non-coding RNA (BRAP_LNC006238)". The record is from RNAcentral. Lineage: Eukaryota; Viridiplantae; Streptophyta; Magnoliopsida; Brassicales; Brassicaceae.
UAAAUACACAAUUUAAAAAAUGGAAAAAGUGCAUUAAUAUUUAAAUAUCUAUUUAAAAAUAUAAAAUUUAGAUAUUACGUAAAUAAAAAUAUAAGAAAUGGAAAUAAACAUUUAAAAAAAUGGAAAAAGUACAUUAAGAUUUAAGCAUCUAUCUUAAAAUGUACUUCUAUCUUUAAAUGGUAGUAAAUUAUAUAAAAAUGGAAAUACCACAUUAAACAAAAAAAAAAUGUAUAAUUUUACAUCAAGAAAGUCCCUAUAAAACUCAUUAUUCCAUCCACAUCAACCUCACACUAUUAAGUAAAAUUUCAAAGCACUCGAGCAAAAAAAUGGUUUCACUAUCAACUCUUGCCGUCCCAAAAACCUUUAACGACAUUGAAUGAGAUUUUUUUAUAACAACAAACUUUUUGUUAGGUGGAUUCAUUGUUGGGAAACCCGCAACUUCCAAAAGCCAAACUUAUUCAUGGGAAUUGAAUUGCUUUUCAUAAACUCAAAGGUAUUCUUACAAAAAAAUGGUUUCACUAUCAACUCUUGCCGUCCCAAAAACCUUUAACGACAUUGAAUGAGAUUUUUUUAUAACAACAAACUUUUUGUUAGGUGGAUUCAUUGUUGGGAAACCC